GCCAAUAAAGAAAGCUUUGAGCUACUUGUUUUAUUACCGUCCUAGUAAAAGAAAACAUAUUGCAUGUGACAAAAAAACAAAACCUUCAGCUAUGCUAAUGAGAUCCGGUAAAAAGCUUCGCAUAAACCCAAGUAAAGGAACGGGCCCACGAAGAGAGAAAAAGAGAAAAGUAAAAGAAAACACUCAGCAAGCACUUCAAGUUCCAUUCAACAAGACUUCAUUGUCUUUAACAUUUGGUUGAUCUUUGGCAGCUGUGGUUGAUCUUAUUUCCUCAGAUGGCUUCAGUUCCCCAUCUUCAGAUCUGGGUAGACCAGCGGAACCCCCAGAUGAAGCAGGUAUUUUUGACCAUUCUUUAUCUACUGGCCUAUCUUGCUCAGUUAUUUGGGUCAAAGCAGCAGAUUGAUUGACAUUUCCAACCUGAAACAUCGAAGACACAAUCACUAACACAAAAUUAACCUGUGUCGAAGAAAUGACAUGCAGUAAUUACCUAAUAAAAGAAUAUUUGCAACUUUUACAUUGGUGUAACGCAUCAAAAUGAAGUAGUCACGAUUUCUCGGACCAAGAACUGAAGCAGUGUAACGCUUGGCAGGGGAGGUCGGGGAUUUACAACAGCUCUAUGUCUGUCAAUCGACUGCUGAUGGUGCAG
This 646-nucleotide long non-coding RNA is filed under the name Nicotiana benthamiana. RNAcentral describes it as "long non-coding RNA (NBEN_LNC009125)". The record is from RNAcentral. Lineage: Eukaryota; Viridiplantae; Streptophyta; Magnoliopsida; Solanales; Solanaceae.